UGACCUCGGAUCAGGUAGGGAUACCCGCUGAACUUAAGCAUAUCAUAGCCGGGAAAGGAAAAAAGAUCAUUACGAAGUUUCAUGCCCGAAAGGGUAGACCUCCACCCUUGUGUAUUAUUACUUUGUUGCUUUGGCGAGCUGCCUUUGGGCCUUGUAUGCUCGCGAGACUAAUCAAAUUCUUUUAUUAAUGUCGUCUGAGUACUAUAUAAUAGUUAAAACUUUCAACAACGGAUCUCUUGGUUCUGGCAU
This 249-nucleotide ribosomal RNA is filed under the name Myriosclerotinia curreyana. Its description in RNAcentral is "partial 28S ribosomal RNA". The record is from RNAcentral. Lineage: Eukaryota; Fungi; Ascomycota; Leotiomycetes; Helotiales; Sclerotiniaceae.